Non-coding RNA from Salmo salar (Atlantic salmon), 65 nucleotides. NCBI's taxonomy places the organism in Eukaryota, Metazoa, Chordata, Actinopteri, Salmoniformes, Salmonidae. The record is from Rfam.
GGCAUGGUGGCCAAGUGGUAAGGCGUCAGUCUCGAAGAUCAUGGGUUCAAAUCCUGUCCGUGCCU